Molecule: non-coding RNA, 97 nt
Organism: Acanthosepion pharaonis
Lineage: Eukaryota; Metazoa; Mollusca; Cephalopoda; Sepiida; Sepiidae
Source: the annotation of a GenBank genome assembly
GUUGAAACACCAGUUCUUGUAUGAUCACUGAAGUUAAGCAAUGUCAAGCCUGGUUAGUAACUAGAUGGGUGACCACUUGGGAAUACUAGGUGCUAUA